Molecule: long non-coding RNA, 1092 nt
Filed under: Panax ginseng (ginseng)
Lineage: Eukaryota; Viridiplantae; Streptophyta; Magnoliopsida; Apiales; Araliaceae
Description: long non-coding RNA (PGIN_LNC003884)
Source: RNAcentral
CUAAUUAAAUGAAUUGGGUUGGAUAAGAAUUAAAGGUAUUGGACUAUGUAUAGCUCAAGUGUGGCCAAAGAAGUGAGUAAGAGACCAAGUAAUACAUUAAAGGAAUGGCUCAAUUUUUAACCCAAGUGGGAGAGGAAUUUUUGGACAUUUGUCAACUCAAAUAAGAGGUAAAAUAGAAAGCAAAUUGGGAGCAUUUUUAGGCCACAUGGCCGACCAAAAGAGAAGCAAUAACAAAGGGGGGAUGAAUUUAAUAAGUGUUCACUUUAGUUGUUGAACCACUUUCACCAACUCUCCAUGUGUCCCUUGGUUAUUUUGUCCAACACUUUGUUCAUUAAUCUUGCAAGCAACCACUUGGAUAUUGCUAAGGGGAAAGAAAGAGAGAAUUAGUGGGAGAGUAAGGCCAUAUGGCCGGACCAUGCUCUAGAUGAAAAGGAGAUUUGGAGAUAACAAAAUAUAUCUAUAGAUUUUCCAACACUUAGAUGAUAUUUUUCCCUUUCAUCACUUUUAUUAUUCUUGCUAGAACACAAGAAAAAGAGAGAGGGAAAGAGAAGAGGAGGCCAUGUUCGGCCAUCCUAAGAGGAGAAGGAGGAGAUUUUGAUGUUCAUACAAUCAAGAUCCAUCUACAUCUUUGAAGGAGAGAAGGAAAUCAAGUUAAGGUAUAACAAAAAUUUCUACUUGUGUAGGCUAAAUUUUCUUGGUGUUUUUGAUUUGAUUUUUGACAACUUGAAGUUGUGAUCUUGAGGUUUAAAACCUUAGAUCUAUGUAUAUAUAAGUGUCUCAUGUUUAGAUCUAACAAUAUUGGGUGUUGAUUUUGGUUGGAAUCAAAGGUAUAAAAUUUCCUAAACUCAAAACUCUAGUUAGUUUAUGUGUUUUGUGAUGGUUGUUUUUCACCAAGUGUUGAACUUAUGAUCCAUAUGAGGGAAGAUCUACAUGAUAUAUGAUAUUUUAUGGUUAGAUCUUCCCAUUUUUAGGGUUGAUAAGCUUGAACAAAGAAGAUGAACCAAAACAGUUUUUUUGUUUUAAAUGAAUUAGUGAACUGCUGCUCUAAACAGAAAAUUUCGGAUUUGUUAGGGUGAUCUAAAAAUUCUGGAC